GCGGCAGUAGCUCAGUUGGUCACUUUUAAUCCGCAGGAUUAAAAGGCAUCAGCUUCCCAAGCUGAGGGUCACGAGUUCGAGCCUCGCCUACCGCUCUA
This 98-nucleotide transfer RNA is filed under the name Parabacteroides sp. D26. Its description in RNAcentral is "tRNA-Gly". It matches the Rfam family "tRNA". Rfam says of the family: Transfer RNA (tRNA) molecules are approximately 80 nucleotides in length. Their secondary structure includes four short double-helical elements and three loops (D, anti-codon, and T loops). The record is from RNAcentral. Lineage: Bacteria; Pseudomonadati; Bacteroidota; Bacteroidia; Bacteroidales; Tannerellaceae.